AAAGUGUUAGUUUCAUAUGAAAAUUGUAAGUUGUCAGCUUACGGAAACUAAAAUUAGUACUCUUUG
This 66-nucleotide transfer RNA is filed under the name Haematopinus asini. Its description in RNAcentral is "tRNA-Asp". The record is from RNAcentral. Lineage: Eukaryota; Metazoa; Arthropoda; Insecta; Psocodea; Haematopinidae.